AAAAAUUAGAAGCUAAAUAAAAAUUUAAGGGGUAUGGAUAUUUUUUUUUUUUUAUUUGGGUACACUCUUUAUAGUUUCCCUAAUAUAUAUAUAACAAUAUUUUUAUUACCUAUAGUGUUUCGUUUAAUCAAUUUUCCAAUAAAUGUACGUAUCUCUUUUUUUUUUUUUCUUUGGGCAAAAAUGUACGUAUCUAAGUUUCAAACCGACAAGGUAGAUCGAUAGUACUGAUGGCCAAUAAUAGAUAUGGGUGUAUGUAUGUGAUUCAGUGUAUGUAUAAAAUAUUUUAACCGAUGAGCUAAUCAACUGUGUAACACAUGAGAUCAUCUACAUAAACUCGUUAGGCCAUUUUUAUUGGGAAAAUUCUAUAAAAAUUC
Molecule: long non-coding RNA, 374 nt
Filed under: Capsella rubella
Lineage: Eukaryota; Viridiplantae; Streptophyta; Magnoliopsida; Brassicales; Brassicaceae
Description: long non-coding RNA (CRUB_LNC005044)
Source: RNAcentral